CACGGAGUUAGCCGGUGCUUCCUUUGAAGGUACCGUCAAUACGCGGCUGAUUAGCACCACGCACUUUCUUCCCUUCUGACAGAGGUUUACGAUCCGAAAACCUUCAUCCCUCACGCGGCGUCGCUGCGUCAGGCUUUCGCCCAUUGCGCAAUAUUCCCCACUGCUGCCUCCCGUAGGAGUCUGGACCGUGUUUCAGUUCCAGUGUGGCCGAUCAUCCUCUCAGAUCGGCUACCCCAUCGUCGCCUUGGUAGGCCGUUACCCCACCAACAAGCUAAUGGGACGCGGACUCAUCCUCAUACGACAGCUUGCAUGCAGAGGCCGUCUUUCCUCCAAAUGUUCAUCCAGAGCGUAUCCGGUAUUAGCAGUCGUUUCCAACUGUUAUCCCGAUCAUGAGGGCAGAUUGUCCACGCGUUACUCACCCGUGCGCCACUCUACUCACGGCCGAAGCCGCUUUCGCGUUCGACUUGCAUGUGUUAAGCACGCCGCC
Molecule: ribosomal RNA, 487 nt
Filed under: uncultured Desulfovibrio sp.
Lineage: Bacteria; Pseudomonadati; Thermodesulfobacteriota; Desulfovibrionia; Desulfovibrionales; Desulfovibrionaceae
Description: partial 16S ribosomal RNA
Source: RNAcentral